Molecule: ribosomal RNA, 253 nt
Filed under: uncultured bacterium
Lineage: Bacteria
Description: partial 16S ribosomal RNA
Rfam family: Bacterial small subunit ribosomal RNA
Source: RNAcentral
UACGUAGGGUGCGAGCGUUAAUCGGAAUUACUGGGCGUAAAGCGUGCGCAGGCGGUUUUGUAAGACCGGGGUGAAAUCCCCGGGCUUAACCUUGGAACUGCCUUUGUGACUGCAAGGCUAGAGUACGGCAGAGGGGGAUGGAAUUCCGCGUGUAGCAGUGAAAUGCGUAGAGAUGCGGAGGAACACCGAUGGCGAAGGCAGUCCCCUGGGCCUGUACUGACGCUCAUGCACGAAAGCGUGGGGAGCAAACAGG